CAGUACAACCCACAAUCUCUGCACAGCAGGAUUCUGUCAGUGACCAGUCUGCAUUAACAUCAUCAAGUGCACAUACAAGUGGUAUGUGUCACACCUUCUGGCUUACACCCUCCUGCAUGACCCAAUGUGGACAGCAUGCACUACUGACACCCACAAACUGAUAUACACCAACUCCAUGGCUGCACCAAGUCAAACAAAGAAAGAAGAAACCUCCUAAAGUAAGCGAAUCCUCACCACUGUGAUUUCUUAGUGUGCAUGGGUGAUGGUUUCCUGUGAGAAACAUCACCUCACAUUAUGCUGCUCAUCUUUUUUUUUGUUCUACUGACAUCUGAGCAGUUUCCUCCUGAUCAUGUACAGGGGGGCCGUCGAGGCAGUCAUAUGAGUGGAUUAUUUGUUUUGUCUUUAUGACAUAGCAUCUCUGGGGAGUGAAGUUUGGCGGUAUGGCAUUACAAAGUAAUUUUAAAAAUAAAUGAAAGAAAGCAAUGGAAUGUUGGCAAAAGUCUUUAUGCCGUGUUUCAGACUGUUGGUCAGUAUCAUAAUGUCUGAUUAGCUCCUUUAGUGGGCAUUUCACAUAUGCAUGAGGGAAGCAGUUUUUUUAGUUGCCUUCUGGUGUUGUUUUAACUGGUAUCUUACUCACUUUUAUUAAUAUUUUUCUUUCUGUGCCAUAUAUAACAGUGCUCAGCAAGCCUAUCACAAGGUAGCACCAUCUUUGCCGCAACACAUGAUUUUAAUUGGGUGUCAUGCUAUUUUUUUGUGUACUAUGUAACUGGACAAAUACAGUAAUCUAUAAUACUAGUGAAAUGCUUUAUUCUCUGUCAAUAACAAGAUUAUACAAGCACAGUUCUUCCUAUAAAUUUGUUGGAUGUAGUUUAAAAAAAAAAAACAAGAUGUAUCUAAAAUCACCUUGUCAGAGAAUUACAAUAAACACCUUUACCUCUACAGACUGACAUGGCACCACCCAUGUAGGAUAAUGUGGCUUUCCUUCCAAAUUAACCAAACAUGCCAAGGCUUGAAAGGUUGUAUCUCAGGAUAAAUUAUAUAUGUGAUGCUUGGGACAAAAAGGUGGAUGGGGACCUCCUCUUUCCACUACAGUUUACCUGCUUAUUGUACUUCUCUAACACCUGUGUUCUCAAUUGAUGUCAGUUUCAAAGUAGUCCAGUCAAUAAAAUAUCUGUCACUGAAUUCAGUGUUAAAUUGUUCAGCAACAGUAUCUGCACUGUUAGAAGGUAUCUGUGUUUGUAAAUUUUGAUUUAUGCAAUAAAUAUACUGGUUGAGUUUCAUUUCUAUAUUGUAACCAAAACGAAACUGCUAUCACCAACACAGCUGAAAACCAAGUAACAGUAAGCGCUUUCACGCCAAUAUCUGGUGCUUCAUCAGACCUUAAAACAGUGAAAACACUAAUCAUUGAAAUAGUACUCACUUAACAGUUUUUUUAAAAAAAAAUCACAUGAUACAAACUAAAAAAUCACAUAUAGUCAAUACAAAGUAGC
Long non-coding RNA from Protopterus annectens (West African lungfish), 1490 nucleotides. RefSeq lists it as uncharacterized. The transcript is spliced from 3 exons. NCBI's taxonomy places the organism in Eukaryota, Metazoa, Chordata, Ceratodontiformes, Protopteridae. The record is from RefSeq and is a predicted model, not a curated record.